RNAcentral lists this ribosomal RNA (461 nucleotides) under uncultured bacterium. Its description in RNAcentral is "partial 16S ribosomal RNA". It matches the Rfam family "Bacterial small subunit ribosomal RNA", at positions 338 to 795 of the family's 1533-position model. The record is from RNAcentral.
CCUACGGGUGGCUGCAGUGAGGAAUAUUGGUCAAUGGACGCAAGUCUGAACCAGCCAAGUAGCGUGCAGGAUGACGGCCCUCCGGGUUGUAAACUGCUUUUAGUUGGGAAUAAAAGGGGGCUCGUGAGCCCCGUAUUGUAUGUACCAUCAGAAAAAGGACCGGCUAAUUCCGUGCAAGCAGCCGCGGUAAUACGGAAGGUCCGGGCGUUAUCCGGAUUUAUUGGGUUUAAAGGGAGCGUAGGCCGGCUUUUAAGUCAGCUGUGAAAGUCCGGGGCUCAACCCCGGCGAGCCGUUGAAACUGGCGGGCUGGAGUUGGAGAGAAGGACGCGGAAUGCGCGGUGUAGCGGUGAAAUGCUUAGAUAUCGCGCAGAACCCCGAUUGCGAAGGCAGCGUACCGGCUCCACACUGACGCUGAGGCACGAAAGCGUGGGUAUCGAACAGGAUUAGAUACCCCAGUAGUC